CCUAUGCUCACCAUAGGGAANGCGGUCGAUACUGUAUGGCUGGAAGCGAGUGGGGGAAGACGGAAUUCCCGGUGUAGCGGUGGAAUGCGCAGAGAUCGGGAGGAACACCUAAGGCGAAGGCAGUCUUCUAUGCUUUGCUUGACGCUAAACUGCGAAGGUGCGGGUAUCAAACAGGAUUAGAUACCCUGGUAGUCCGCACAGUAAACGAUAAUCACUAGGUGUUGGCAGGAUAUACCUGUCAGUGCCGUAGCAAACGCGGUAAGUGAUUCCCCUGGGGAGUACGAUCGCAAGGUUGAAACUCAAAGGAAUUGACGGGGGCCCGCACAAGCGGUGGAGCAUGUGGUUUAAUUCGAUGCAACGCGAAGAACCUUACCCGGGCUUGACAUCCCAAGGAGUUUCCGGAGACGGGAAUGUGCCUUCGGGGAACUUGGAGACAGGUGCUGCAUGGCUGUCGUCAGUUCGUGUCGUAAGAUGUUGGGUUAAGUCCCGCAACGAGCGCAACCCCUUUGUUCAGUUGCCAUCAUUAAGUUGGGAACUCUGGAGAGACCGNUCCAGUACCAAUGCAGAGGAAGGUGGGGACGACGUCAAGUCAUCAUGGUCCUUAUGUCCGGGCGACACACGUGCUACAAUGGCAGUUACAGAGGGAAGCUAAGGGGUGACCUGGAGCGAAUCUCAGAACAGCUGCCGCAGUUCGGAUUGGGGUCUGCAACUCGGCCCCAUGAAGCCGGAAUCGCUAGUAAUCGCGUAACAGCAUGACGCGGUGAAUACGUUCCCGGGCCUUGUACACACCGCCCGUCAAGUCAGCCGAGUGGAGUGCACCCGAAGGAGGUGAGCUAACCCGCAAGGGGAGCAGCUUUU
Molecule: ribosomal RNA, 858 nt
Filed under: uncultured bacterium
Lineage: Bacteria
Description: bacterial SSU rRNA
Rfam family: Bacterial small subunit ribosomal RNA
Source: RNAcentral